Erpetoichthys calabaricus (reedfish) is the source of this 2476-nucleotide long non-coding RNA. RefSeq lists it as uncharacterized. The transcript has 2 exons. The record is from RefSeq and is a predicted model, not a curated record. Lineage: Eukaryota; Metazoa; Chordata; Cladistia; Polypteriformes; Polypteridae.
GGGGCUGGUGUCGCGCUUCACCUUUAUGGCGGCGCGCGCUUACCAGGAAGACUCUUCAGACUCGCGGCGGUAAGGUGGGUGGAAGAAAGAAGUGAAAGCGAGAGGGGCAAGGUCAUACAAAUUGUAAACUGGAACAAGCGGACUCGUUUUCAUAGUUAGCAGCUUAUAAAAACCCUAAUCCGUAAUUGUUUUUUUUUUUUUGCAAUAUGAUUGCUCGUUUACCCCAGAAAAGUAGGUAGGGGACGCCAUAAAGAUUGAAAAACGGUAAUCAUACGCCUCAGAGCGAGUAAAUCUGUUUUGUUGAAAAACGCCUGACUACUUGGAUACUAAACCAGGAAAAAAUCCACGAGAAGAAGAAAAAAGGGAACUCGAGGCCAGUGCAUAGAGCAAAACAAGAAGUUAAACUCCAACUGGUUUAUCAUGCCAAAACAGUAUUCUCUUAAAGUUACAAAAAGAAUGUCACCACACCCUGGCAGUUUAGAAGCCCAUCGCCAGUGAACCCUGGACAGCUGACCCGCCCAACCCUGGGACUUUGAAUCGUAGCCAUUCAUAAUCGUACACCUUCAAAACUUUUGAUGGCUCCAAAAGCAUCUGGAGAGGAUAACAUCUGGGGAGAAGAGAGUACCUCAGCUAACAGAAACAAAGAGAGUGUCCCAGCUGCUAUAGCAAUAUUUGCUCUGCCAUUAUUCAAUGGAGUUACAAUCAUUCAAUUUUGUUUGACUUGGGCUGUAUGCAGAAAAAAAAAAGUUCAGUACAAGCAACGUGCAACAUUAAAUAUUUGUUUCAUAAUUUAUUGUGAUUUUGGGGUGACACUAUAAGUGAAACAACCUUUCAAAGUGCAACUCUGAGCACUGAACCUGGCUUAUUUGUGGUAAAGGGCAUCGCUGCACCCAGGAGCUGAAUGUUUGAGUAGGAGGGACUACAGUGUCAAGUAGGAGUGACUUCAUCCAUACACAAUAUUACAGCGGCAUGAAAUGAUGUUCCCUGAGACGUAGGUGCAACAUAUAUACAAUCAGAUACACAUACAGUAUAACAUAAAAAACAGGAUAAGUGCAGGACAAGUAAGAAACUGUACUAUUCUAAAGCUAUAUACCAUACUCUACUAUACUUAUUGAUUAAAUAAAUAAUGAAUAGGUUGAAUAAUUUGACAUAAUUAUAGAUUAAUGAUAAGAACAACUGAGAAUAAGACACAAUAGUAACAGAUGUACGAGUAUGGUAUAUCAUUCGGAUCAACUACUAGCGUAUAAGCAAAUCUAAGGGGAGGUGGACAGCACAGAAUUCAGAUUCCAGAAAGCCAAGGGGUAGAAGCUGUUACAAAACUUGGUACAAGUGGUUUGAAUGUUAUGAUACCUUCUCCCAGAUGAAAACAGGACAAAGACGCUGUGGGAAGGAUGGAGGCAAUCCUUCACAAUACCGUAGGCUUUGCAAGUACAAAGCUUGAUGAAAACGACUUAAUUGGAUUGUAGAGAAGUCCCAGUGAUCUUUUCUGCUGUGUGCACUGUCUAUUGUAGGACAUUGCAAUCAGAGACAGUGCAGUUUCCAUACCAAAGAGAAGGAAUUUAUGUAAAUCUGCUUUAACAAGAUAGGAUUGAGAGGUGCAAGUUAUUGCAAACCUUAUCUACUAGGCCUAACUUUAUUGUCCAAUUUUAAUUGGAAGUAUCCAAGCUGGCCUUUGUAAAAUUCAGUCGGGGUGGGGGUGUUAUUGGGAUUACAGAUCUUGGUGUGGAUCUUAGGCUGGCUGUUCUUGGUCUAGGUCUGUGUUUUUGGAACACGGCUUAACUCUUCUUGCAGUGUAUCCUGUAAAUUCUGUUUAAAUUGUAUAUUUUCUCAAUUAUAUACAGCAUAUAAGCUGUGAAAACUAUUCAUGACAAACCUUUAUUUUGAAAACUUCAUUCCAUCUGUCAAGUGUGUCCACUCCCACUUGACAUUCAGCUCCUGGCUGCACAGAUACAUACUGUACUUAAAUUUGUGAAGCCAGCGCCCCCUGCUGGUCACAGUAUGUAAUAUUGGAUUUUUCUUUAGCAAUUAACUGACAUUUGAGGCACACAUUUAAAAACAUUAACAUUUACUUCUGUCACCUUCACAAUUUUGCCAGACUAAGGCCAUUUAUCUCACAGCCUUCUAGAUGAAUUAACUGUAAUUCACGUGUUUUCAGAAAGAAAAAAAAAAAACAUCAUUUAAGGAGGUGCCACUCAUGUUCUUCCUCAAACCUGCUUGUGUCAUCACAUCACAACAACACUAACAUCAAACUUCCAUAAAGCAGUCCAUGAUGACACCCUUCACAAUGACUGUGACUUAGCUUCUCCUUUUUUAUUUACAGUAGAUUGUAUGCUGUAUUGUUACUAUUCUGAUUUGUUGUAAGCUUAAUUCUGUUGUAAAUUAUUUUGUCAUCUGCUGUUGAUCUUUACACUAUUUUAUAUUUUUGUUGUGGGUUUGAGAGGAGUGCAUUAUAAAUAAAAAUAAUCAUCAUCAUUAA